Molecule: ribosomal RNA, 351 nt
Filed under: uncultured bacterium
Lineage: Bacteria
Description: bacterial SSU rRNA
Rfam family: Bacterial small subunit ribosomal RNA
Source: RNAcentral
AAGUGGAGCAAUCCAUGAGUACAGUGGCGACCGGGUGAGUAACACGUGACUAACCUACCCUCGAGUGGGGGAUAACUCCGGGAAACCGGAGCUAAUACCGCAUAACAUCGCGAGGUGCAAUUCCUUGCGAUCAAAGGAGUAAUUCGCUUGAGGAGGGAGUCGCGUCUGAUUAGCUAGUUGGUGAGGUAACGGCCCACCAAGGCGAUGAUCAGUAGCCGGCCUGAGAGGGCGCACGGCCACACUGGAACUGAAAUACGGUCCAGACUCCUACGGGAGGCAGCAGUGGGGAAUUUUGCGCAAUGGGGGAAACCCUGACGCAGCAACGCCGCGUGGAGGAUGAAGUCCUUUGGG